Etheostoma spectabile (orangethroat darter) is the source of this 963-nucleotide long non-coding RNA. RefSeq lists it as uncharacterized. The transcript has 4 exons. NCBI's taxonomy places the organism in Eukaryota, Metazoa, Chordata, Actinopteri, Perciformes, Percidae. The record is from RefSeq and is a predicted model, not a curated record.
CUCGCAGUCCACUCUUUUAAUUUAUUAUUUUUAUUUUAUUUUUCUCGAGGCCCACUCCAGAGUGCAGCGUAAUGACGUAUUUGCAUUUGGACUCUUCCGACGGCAUCUCGCUAAAAAACAAACAAACCGUCGCACACUCAAUGGUAGGCUACCCUUCAGUUAGUGGUGCGUGCUGGAGAAUGCUACCGUCGAGCAAAAAUAAGCUGUAAAAAAUGGAUAGGCUAAUAGAAAGCUGAAAAGGCAAGAAAUAAAAACCGGAAAGUUCAAAGUGAUGUGGCCAAGUGACCCAAACUGAGGAACUUUUUCAUUAAAACAGCGAAAGUGAAAGAAAAUGAAGACGAUGUGACGGCUCCUGAGUAGCAGCCAGAAGUCCAGUUUGCUGCUAGACGUGAUAAUGAAGAGCCAGUACCAAGCACCAGCUCCAGGUGGACAGAUGUUGAACUGCAAACACAUUCUUUGAAAUCAGUCAGACAACAUCAGAUUGACAAGCUUCGGGACACGACCACGACCCAGGAGUGCUUGAUGUUUAAAUACAGAAGGGUCAGAUGGUAUUAUUACGGUGAGGCUCUGGUUAGAGGAGUCACAGUAAGGUUGAUGAUAACAUUAGAAAACAAGUUAAAGGCAGAUGCUGCUUAGGCACUGCUGCUUGAACAGUUCAACCCAGGCCUUUUCCAGAUGUCAACAAAGCCAUCUGAUGCCCUUGUCUCUGGGAUUCAGUCACUGGGCUGUCAUUCAAAUGUGCACAAAAUGCCAGCUUUAAAGUCAAUUCUUGGACACAAGGCAACGGAAAAAGACAAUACACAUGGAGAAGGACAACAAAUCAGAAAGACAGAGAUCAUUAUUUAUACAAACCCAAUAUGACAUCAGCGGUGAUUACGCUUUUUGCAUUGCCAAAGGAAAAAUCAGUAUGGCUUGUUGUGACUCACGGGAUUCUCCUGUGCUUUCACUGAAACAAAGCGAGAA